RNAcentral lists this transfer RNA (85 nucleotides) under Bacilli bacterium. RNAcentral describes it as "tRNA-Leu". It matches the Rfam family "tRNA". Rfam says of the family: Transfer RNA (tRNA) molecules are approximately 80 nucleotides in length. Their secondary structure includes four short double-helical elements and three loops (D, anti-codon, and T loops). Further hydrogen bonds mediate the characteristic L-shaped molecular structure. tRNAs have two regions of fundamental functional importance: the anti-codon, which is responsible for specific mRNA codon recognition, and the 3' end, to which the tRNAs corresponding amino acid is attached (by aminoacyl-tRNA synthetases). tRNAs cope with the degeneracy of the genetic code in two manners: having more than one tRNA (with a specific anti-codon) for a particular amino acid; and 'wobble' base-pairing, i.e. permitting non-standard base-pairing at the 3rd anti-codon position. Lineage: Bacteria; Bacillati; Bacillota; Bacilli. The record is from RNAcentral.
GCGGAUAUGGUGGAACUGGUAGACACGCAAGACUUAGAAUCUUGUGAGGAGACUCGUGCAGGUUCAAUUCCUGUUAUCCGCACCA